RNAcentral lists this long non-coding RNA (514 nucleotides) under Capra hircus (goat). RNAcentral's name for it is "lncRNA (ENSCHIG00010026676.1)". The record is from RNAcentral. Lineage: Eukaryota; Metazoa; Chordata; Mammalia; Artiodactyla; Bovidae.
CAAUAAAGGGAAUUGCUUAGUCCACAUACCAAUUAUGUUUCUACGUUCAUAAGAGAUUUUUCUAAUCAAAAAAUUAAACUGUGAAAAAUAGACACCUAUUUCUUUUCCAGCCCUUCCAGAAUGAGAAUGCAUUUGGGCUCUCUGCCCAGUUCUGAUCUGUAAGCUGCCUCCUCAGUUCCUCAACUCCAUGCAGCCCAGAUCCCACCCCAGCUUUCAGGCCUUCUACUCACCCCUGGGGGAAAAUGAGAGGCUGGAAAAACAGCAUGAUGUUCUGCUGAACCCAAAAUAACCUUGAACUCAGCAAACAGACCAAACUGAUGGAAGAACCCCAGGUCAUUUUCAGGCUCUUUACCAUAUUAAGUCCAAGCUGUCCUCUUCUGGACACCGGAUAGACUGUGGCUCUGCUCCCUGGCUCCUCUCCUGGUCGACACCACACUUGCCUACCCUCUGGCCCACUCAUCUUCCUCUGGCCAUGCUGUUGUGCAAAUAUCAUGGACACACAGGACUCCUGAGA